Long non-coding RNA from Pan troglodytes (chimpanzee), 403 nucleotides. RefSeq lists it as uncharacterized. The transcript has 2 exons. The record is from RefSeq and is a predicted model, not a curated record. Lineage: Eukaryota; Metazoa; Chordata; Mammalia; Primates; Hominidae.
GCCAAUGACGAAGCUUGGAAUGUCCACCAGGGAGGUGGGUGGGGCCAAAGAGCCAAACAGGUGUCUGAAGGUGGGAGACAUUGAGAGGCUAGGUGGCAGAUGGAGGCGUAGGGCAUGUCUGCAUCCCUGACCUGCCUAACUGGGACAGGGGGGGCAGGCUGAGCCUGGCCAGGGGAGUAGGGACAAGAUCUCAGAGAGAGCUGGUCCAGCAGCCUCCCCUACAGUGUGGACCGGACACGUCCGCCGGGCCAGGCACUGAGAAGAUAUAGCGGAGGAGUCACAGCCAGGCCCAGACAACAGCACUCACAUCCCCUUCCCUGAGAUGUCGGGGAUAAUGCCAGGAGCCAUGAAUGAGGGUAUUAAUUAUCAUCAAUAAUAAAUAGGUACAGAUUGAUGCUCAAAA